This is a small nucleolar RNA of Cygnus olor (mute swan), 153 nucleotides long. RefSeq annotates it as small nucleolar RNA SNORA5. The transcript has a single exon. The record is from RefSeq and is a predicted model, not a curated record. Lineage: Eukaryota; Metazoa; Chordata; Aves; Anseriformes; Anatidae.
CGCAGCCCCCUCACGUUCAGUCCCUGCCUCCCCCGUGGCAGGAACUGGCCAGCCGGCUGCCACAGCACCGCCUGUAGCCCGCGGGCGCCGCCGUCCCCCUCCCGUGGGACCCUGGGGAUGGGAAAAAAAAAAAAAAUCGCGCCACAGACACCG